CGGCAUUGAUGGAACCGCCAUCGUGUUCCGCCAAAACCAACGUGCUAGCAGAUCGACAUGCGGAGGAGGAGAAGAGCGGGAGUAAUUGAGAAGACAAUGGAAGAAUCGAUCUCUUCAAAGCAGUAAAUACUGUUCGGGUGAUCAUGUUGAUGGAUCUUCUCUCUCUCUCUCUGAAACUCCGGAAGAGGGCGGUGGAAAUAGGACGGAGACGGCGACGGCGGAGAUAAUCCCUUCAAUGGAAUUGGAGGUGUGAAAGAGGAAUACGGCACUGCUCCAGCGAUUGAAACGGUGCGUUUAAAACGCC
Molecule: unclassified non-coding RNA, 304 nt
Filed under: Hevea brasiliensis (rubber tree)
Lineage: Eukaryota; Viridiplantae; Streptophyta; Magnoliopsida; Malpighiales; Euphorbiaceae
Source: RNAcentral